This 424-nucleotide long non-coding RNA is filed under the name Monodelphis domestica (gray short-tailed opossum). RNAcentral describes it as "lncRNA (ENSMODG00000051499.1)". The record is from RNAcentral. Lineage: Eukaryota; Metazoa; Chordata; Mammalia; Didelphimorphia; Didelphidae.
CUCCAAAUGGGUCAGAGCCAGAAGGGACAACCUGGGAAAACCCCUUGGAAAAUGACAAUUUAGGAAUCACAGCUCUCACAUAAACAAAGAGGACUCCAGGAGUUCAUGAGAACUAUGAUGCUCUAUGAGGUAUUGGGCUUCCUUCUUGUCUUGGAUUGCUAUGGAAUGAACAUUGGAUUUGUACUCUACUGACCUUGGACUCAAAGCUUAGCUCCAUCACACAAGGUUUUUCAGUAGCUUUUCAUCUAACUCUGCUAACUCAAGUCCUACUGAGAAACAUGACUGUACGAUUUGCAUCCCGAUCCACCCUUGACACUUCUGGCAAAUGGCUGAUCAAUAUAUCCCAGUGCAAAUCCAAUUGCUCAUCUACACUGGCCAGGAGGAUUCUGAGAUUUAUUGAUCUGGGUCCAAGGCCAUUGAAAUA